RNAcentral lists this long non-coding RNA (31520 nucleotides) under Panicum hallii. RNAcentral describes it as "long non-coding RNA (PHAL_LNC000845)". The stretch from base 8221 to 8291 matches the Rfam family "tRNA". Lineage: Eukaryota; Viridiplantae; Streptophyta; Magnoliopsida; Poales; Poaceae. The record is from RNAcentral.
CUCUUAGGUUUACACUGAGUGGCUGGACUGGUUACAGGGGCUCUUACUCCCAUACUUUCUUAAUUAGUUUGAUUUGAAAGCAGCUGGUUGUUGUGGGGAGUUAUUUUCUGUACUUAGUCUCCAUGAUGUGUUGUAUUUGCCCCCAGCCUUUAUGCUACUCGUGAAUUUGUCAAUCAAUGCUGCGAGACGAAUUGGUACCUAGAUGUGAUUCAGUUGCGCUGUGGGUUUGUUCCUCCGUUGUGCUACAACUGUGAUCCUACAGAGACAUGCGAUGUGUUAAACUGUUGAUUACCAUCUGAUUCAGUUGUUUCCCUAUUUGCGUUAAGAACUAUUCACUAGUGCUGAAUCCAUUGAACUGUCUAAUACUUAAUCCACUUAUUCCAAAAUUAGUCAUGUGAAUUCUUGUCUUAAUAAUAGGAAAAAAAAUAUGCCAAAUUUUCCCAUGAAGAAUCUGGACUGUGCUUCCUAUAGACCUACCAUUAUUUCUGCUCCAUGCUAGUGGUAUUUAUGCGUGCCUGGUUAUCUAACUGUAAAGAAGUUUGUUAUGGUAUUGUCCAGUGUGAAUAUUUAAUUUAACUUUCUAUUUGCUAUGAUGGAGUACUUACUACUUAAUGUUGGUCCAGUUUUCUAGUUAUGUACUUACCGAAAUUUUGGAGAUACCUAGCCUGUUUCUGUAUGCUUUGCAUUGUUGAUUAAUGUUCCAAAUGUGUCAAUUAGUUUCAGUUUCCACAUUAGUUAGAAUGUCUAUAGUUGAUCAGCUUAGUUUGUACCAGUUAACGUACAAUAAUAUCUUGGAGCAGAUGAAUUGAUAGGAAGGUUUGUCUUCUCUGAUACUUUUGGUUAAGGUAACUAUAGCAUCUGUAUCUGAUAAUGAAUUGUGGGGAGGUUUGUCUUCUGGUUAAGGUGGUAGAUCUAUAGUUGUUAAUGGAUUGUGGGAAGGUUUGUCUUCUCUGGUACUUUUGGUUAAAGUGGAGUGUCUAUAACUCAUAUGCAUACAUGUGAGCUCAAAAAAAUCAAUUAAGUGGGAACUUCUCUGCACCCUCUGUCUGCUAGAACAAUUUGUGUUGCUUUUCUGGGGUUUCAUCUUGUGAUCUAUCACAGUUAUUGAGCCCUAAGGGUGACUAUGAUGACCAAUUGGCCCUCACAGAUGAGGUGCAACCUUGCAAGUACAUUAAAUCAUCCCUUUUUGGCUGCUCAUUUGUACCCAACCAAUUCGUGAAUAGCAUGCAUGCAUAUACCACUUCCAGAUUGUUUAGUUGUUGAUGAAAUGUGUCUGGUUGUUUGACUUUACUUUCUGUAUUUGACAAGUUUGCUACCAAAAAAGACCCUUAUUUCUUUAUCCCAAUUCCAAUUUUCAGGGGCUAUAAAAGGUUCUUUCGGCGUACUGCUCUUGAGACAUCAGAUUUUCUUAAAGAUGAUUGCUUGAAGAUAAACUGUACUGUGGGUGUUGUAGUAUCAACUAUGGACUAUUCUAGACCACACUCGAUAGAGGUUCCAGAGUCUGACAUAGGCUAUCAUUUUGGAACGCUUUUGGACACUCAGGAAGGUGUAGAUGUUAUUUUUAGAGUAGCAGGAGAGGAGUUUCAUGCCCACAAGUUGGUAUUGGCUGCCCGAUCUUCCUUUUUUAGGUCUGAGUUUUUCGAUCAUGAAUCAGAUGAAGAAAAGAAUGAAGCUGAGACGAGGAAUGAAAUCAAAGAGAUUGUCAUUGAUGACAUGGAUCCUAAAGUGUUCAAGGUAUGUUUCUAUUUUUGUACAGUCUCAUAUCCCAUUUCAUUUUUGAACAAACUUUGGGAUUUUGUAUUCAUCUGUGCAAAUAUUCUCUGUUGCAGGCUGUGCUUCAUUUUAUGUACAGGGACAAUCUUGUUAAUGAUGAUGAGUUAUCCGCAUCAAGCUCUGACUGCUCUAUCUUUGAUACUUUAGCUGGGAAGUUAAUGGCUGCAGCAGACAAAUAUGAGUUGCCAAGGCUAAGAUUGUUGUGUGAGUCUUACUUGUGCAAGCAUAUUUCUGUAAACUCUGUGGCAACUACUCUAGCAUUGGCUGACCAGCACCAUGCUAUGGAGCUUAAAUCUGUUUGCCUUAAAUUUGCUGCUGAAAACCUUUCAGGUAAUAAGACUUCACAUAAAAAUCUUUUCAACCUUCGUGGCUUCAUGCAUCAUACAUAGAUAUAUUCCUGAUUGACAUCUUCAAUAAAAUUUUGAUCUGUGAUUUAUAGCUUUACAUAAUCACAAAUGGCUCUGCAAUGCUUAGUUUUUUAUUCUAUAAAUAAAAUAAGUACGUGUUAGGUGUUCUCUUGUUUAGAUGUCAGACAAUUCCCAGUUUGCUCCAAGGAAUGGCAUCGCAUGGAGGUCAAAUGUCCGCAGUGUUUUCCCAUGCCUAUAAAAUUGGCACAUAUGGUAUUGAUAUGAUGCCUUAUUAUCUGCUUAGCUGUGAAGUGCGAUAGAUGGCACUGAGCCAUUGAUGGUGGUUAUGGUUGCUGGAUUACCAGUCAUGAUAGUAUAUGGAUUUCAGUCAUUUCUUGCUUCUAUUUUGACCAUUGUCAUACUGAGCAUCAUAAUUCUUCCUUUUUAAACUUUAGGACUAUUAGCAUCAUUUUUGGGUUCCACAUUACUGCUUUGUAAUUCGUGUACCGUAUUUGCAUGUUUUCCUCGUUUGCUGCUCGGUGGUGCCCAAAUAAAUUUGAGCUGUAUAACAUUCCAGAUGCCCUUAUGUAUCUGCAGCUGUGAUCCGGACUGAGGGGUUCGAUUACCUCAAAGACAACUGCCCAUCGCUGCAGUCAGAGAUACUGCGAACAGUUGCCGGUUGCGAGGAGCAAUGCAGCAGCGGUGGGAAAAGCCAGAGUGUAUGGGCGCAGCUCUCUGACGGUGGCGAUACCAGCGGCCGCAGGGUGAGGCCGAGGGUCUGAGCUCUGAGGCAUCACCGGCUUACCGCCGUGAAACCAUGAUCAACUGACCUGUGUAAUCGAAGCUGCUGUAGUGUAAAUGUGGACAGGGCACCGUACAGCUAUUUGAUUUGUGACAACGCUUGAAAUAAUAUGAUUAGCAUCUUGCUUGUUGCCACCCUCUGUGCCUUUUUUUACAUAAUCGUUCCUUGGUUCAGUUCACAGGCUUUUGCUUCUGAGUAUCGCACAUUGCACACGCACAAAUAAUGGUGUACAGGCGUCGAGUAACAUGGGGCAGCUAAGUGAAAUGAGACUUCCGACGCCAUCGGGGCAUCCUCAACGUGCAAGUAAAUACUGAAGAGAUGGAACCACAGAACCUGAAUGACAAUGACGGUGGUUUAAACAGACUGGAUGUAGGUAAUCGUCCACCUGAGUUUGGUACGAACAAACUACACCGGCAAGGCCCCAGACAAUGCAAAUAUGCAACAGCCGAGGGCAUCCUCUCGUCACGCAAGCAACACUAACACUUCAGAUUUUGCUCAACCAAAUGAAGCCACCAGGAAUUCCUUGUAAAUGCUCAUGAACUUUGCCACGAAAGCUGCAAAAGGGUUGUAAAAGGAGAUGGAGCAGAUAAGUUAAGUAUGACUGCUAUACUGCUAUCAUCAAUCCAAAAGACCAUACGUGCAAAUCUGAGAUAUUUGCACAUAAUAAAACAAAAAAUGAAUAAAAAGAACAAUCUAAGUGAAAGCUAUACAUGGCUAAACCAAUUUAUACACGAAAAGGCAUGCUUUCACUGUGUUUUGAUCAUGGUAUAUUCAGAUGAAGGUACCAAAUGAUAGCUUUAGAAACAAUGUUAACCAAUAAGACUGAACAGGUGUGACCAUAUACAUGCAGCCCAAUAAGCAUAAUAAUAUGCACUUAAUAGAAGGGGCAAAAGAAGUACCUUCUAGGUGAAAAAUGGCUUUUGAUCCAAGGCGCAUCUUGUGCUCCUGCAAACAUAAAGCCCCACAAGUUAGAACUAUGAGGUAGCAAAAGCACCACAUGAAAAACAGCUUCAAUAGGUUAUGCCCUCUAAUUUCUGUUUAUUUGCCAAACUAGGGGUGUCAUGGAACUAAAUCAAUUGGGAGAAAUUGUUUCCAAAUUGUUUACUCACAUAGUGUGCAGCCCAGUGACAGAUUUCGUGCUUCAGAUCAGAGUCUAACUUCUUCAGUAAUUCCGCCAACAACUUCUGCAGUAGUCAAGGAAGUUCAGCAUGCAUGAUAUCAAAGAGCAUGGGAGAACGAAUAAAGCAGUGGUAGAAGCAUUAAAUCACCUUCAAAAUACUUUCAGGUGGGAUACAAUUGACAAGUAAUUCAUAGAAUUUCUGGCGUACAGCAUAUAGCCUGAAAUGUUCAGAGGCAAAUCAAAGAAUAAGGCACUUGUGUACAUCACCAUUUAGUGCGAUACAUAAUUUCAACAAAUGGCUGUCCACGAUAAAAUUGCGCUCAUUCGGAAGGGGAACUUUCUCAAAUCUAUAUUGUCCUCGAUACUGUAAAAAAUAAAAUAUAAGAGACAAGUAAACAGAUCAUAUUUAGCUGCUUGCAAUCAGCAUUUACGAUAUUAUUAUUAUUAGAUUUAAAAAUCUUCCCAUGUAGUUGUUGGAGGCUGCAAGACAACAGGAAGCAUGGAAAGCUAGUUAAGGAACUUGAAAGGAAACUAUAUACCAGAAAAUGAUAGUUAUAACCACUUGUAUGAUGCGUCAAAAGAGUUGUCCAGGAAAUAGUAUCACUAUAUCAGUACCCAAAAGCAAACUAAUAUCAAAGCUAUAAGAGCAUCCACCAAUAUAGCAGCCAUCACUUCUUUCAACACUGGUACUGAAUGAUAUUAAUCUAUCACAAACUCCAAACAAAAAUUACAUAAGAUACUACAAACUAGAGCUUUUCUAUGUACGAGAAACAUGCAUCAGAUCUAGCCAUGCACUCACUUGCAUUCCUAUCAUUGAUAUGCCUUGUAUUUUCAGCAAAUAUAGGCAUGACAUCGUAGUACAAAUGUAAAACUAAAGCAAUACUGCAGCAGGAAUCCUCUUAGUUUAAGAUGAGGAAUAAAAGCAUGAAUACAAGAAUUAUAAAGCCUGAAGUACUUUCAACAGAAGUUGGAACCUUUUAGGGCUUUGUUCUGUCAGGAUAUCAGUUGAUAUUUCAGAGACAUAUUGCUCCCAGUCAAGAGGAGGUGCGGCUUGAUUUGAUGUAAAUGGGUAUCUGGAAGCAGAAAAGAAUAUGAUAACAAUCAGUGCUGGCAGGGGUUAGAGAUUGAAAUAAGUAUAAAAGCAGACAUCUGGCAAAUCAGUAAAGGAACUGAACGCCAAAUAAGCUCAAGAGCUUACUGUUGCACUUUGCAAGUCUCAAAAAACAGUAUUGCCCGUCUCAGAUUACGGUUUGAUUGUGCUGCAAUACGAGCAGCAAAUCCAGCUGGAAGCUGCAGGUUUUCUUUCUUCCCAAUGAACUCUAGAACUUGGACAAUCUGUGAAAUGAAGAAAGGUGUUCAUACUUUAGUAUUUUCAUAGUACAUUAUGUGCUCGACGGAUGAGCACAUUAAGGAAUGUCAACAAUGCUUUUGAACAGCCAAUUCACUGAGGCAAUACAACAAGUAAGAUCAAAUGAAAAUUGAAAGUUUGAAGCAUCUAUCACCAACCUGAUCUUCGCUAGGAGCAUUCACUCGCACAUUUAAGCAACGGGAUCUUACAGCCUCUGUGACUUUUGAUGAGCUGUUACAGCAUAGGAUCAGUCUGCAUGAUGCACUAUACUUCUCCAUAGUCCUUCGGAGGGAAUGCUGGGCUUCUCGUGAGAGUUUGUCAACUUCAUUUAACACAAGGACUGCAAGUUCAGAUGAACCUUGUUAAGUUCCUGUUAACAGGGCCUAAAAAAGAUGCAUGCUCAUGUCUGAGAUAUCCAACUUAUGCUACUUAAGGUUUACAAUCAUGAUGAAAAUAUCAUUAGUUUUUCUUGCAAAAAAUAUCAUUAGUUAGGCUAAUAAGCAAACCUACUAGCAUCAUGUGAGGCAACUUCAUACUUGUAUAAUCAUGCAUAAUAAAACUGAAUAUCAAGAAGAAAAAAAGUAGCAGCACCUGCUUUGAUAGCCAACAAAGAACUAGGAGGAACAUAGACACGGUACUGCAUGAAAGAACACCAACCUUUAAAUGCUCUCUUGCCUUUGGCAUCGAUUGGCCUAUUCUUUGCCAUCUCUUUGAUGACCUCCUGGACAACAUACCUGUCCUGAAAGCCUGCAUCACUGGGGUUCAUCUCCACAUGAUGAGCACUCGACAACAUCGCCAACUCUAUCUCAAGUGUUCUUGUUCCGGUCUGAAGAGGAAAUAGCAACUCAGACUCCAGACAAAUUCAUAGGUAAUCCAACUUGUCAAUAAAGCCCGACACAUCGAAACCAUGAGGUACCAACCAUUCUACACGUCAGACUACUGCAUAACCCCAAAAGAACAUAUGAGUUGCAGUAAUUUCCUAUCAUGGUGCUGUGACCAUCACAAUCAUAUAAAAUGGGAUUCAUCUAAAUCUUACAUGACACCGAUACCAUCGACUAAGAGGUAUUACUUUUUUUUUUUGAAUGGUCACCGGGGGGGGGGGGAGCAUCCCCACCUGAAUUAUAUUGAUAAGGUGUGGCAGCCCACAGAUCAAAGACCUCGUUUUUUAGGGAAAACGAGGUAAAACCCUACAUCGCUCGGUUAAUUCAGGAAAACCAGGCUAAAACCUUAACAACAACCUAGCUAAACUAGGUCUCAACUAACACCAAGCCCAAGCACAAGGGCAAAUACACUAGCAUUUCGUGAAGUCCUCAGCACAUCAUCAGAAUUUCUUGAAGUGGCACUAAUAAAUAAGAACAAAGCUUAGGCUAUGGAAAGGUAGGACUCACAUCAAUCUUCCAUGUCUUGUUCUCCAUCUUAACCUGCAACCGAGCAACCAGAACACGGAAAUGUCAACACCAAACGAUGACCUCAACAUAGAAAAAUCUAAACAACAAAGAGGAGACCCCCAAAUAAAUUUAUAUUAAGAAAAUGCACCUUCUCCGCGCCGGCGCCGAACAUCUGCUUGAUGAGCGCUAGGAUUAGGGUUUUCUUCCCGGACCCCGACGGCCCAUAGAACAGCAGGUGCGGGCAAUCCUGCUCCGACACCUGAGCAAAACCAAAGCACACAUGAUUAGAACUGCAAAACAUCGGGCGAAACCCUAGAUUAACCCGGAGACGCGCAGAUCGCGGGGAGGCUUACGAGCUUCCGGAGGUUCUGCGCGACCUGGUCGUGGACGGUGACCUUGUCUAGGGUCUUGGGCCGGUACUUGUCCACCCACAGCAUCCUCGCCGCUCCCUCUACUUCCCCGCCUCGGCUCGCCGCUAGAGAGGUAGAGAGAUUUGGGGAUUGGAUUGGACUGGGAGGGAAAUGGAGGGGAGUGGCGGGAACUCGGGACUGAUGGGGGCGGGGACUCCGCCGCUGGGAGACGAGGGUUUUUGCCGGGCGCCUCGCCUAUCUUUUCUGACAGGUGCGGUCCACAUGUCAGCAGUGCUGGUGCCGGGCCUGGGCGAGCGACGCGAUGUGGGCCGUAGGCUUGGUUUGAUGGGAGGUCGAGGGGUAAACCACACAAGGGAGCCCAGUUUUGCAAGGACUUGUUUGUUAUUUUUUUCAAAUGCUCUUGAUUUGUAAUUUGGUUACCACAAACUUAGUGUCAUGGUUAAAGGUUAAUUUAUUUCAGAUCACAAGAGUAUUUAUUUAGACUGCACUCGGGGGUACUUGUACCGUUGGCAUAGUGGCUCUGUCCUGCCUCUACUUUUGUGAGUGCAGUUAGGGUGUGUUUGUUUCUUUCUCUCCGAAGUUUAGACCCGUCGCAUUAAAAAAACUCUUGCUAUUUAGAAGUAUUGAAUAAAAUCUGUUUAUAAAACUUUUGCACAGAUGGGUGCUAAUUCGCGAGACAAAUUUAAUGAGCCUAAUUAAUCUAUAAUUUGCCACAGUGAUGCUACAGUAAUCAUCCGCUAAUCAUGAACUAAUAUACCUUAUUAGAUUCGUCUCGCAAAUUAGUCCUGGGAUUCUGCAAUUAGUUUUAUAAUUAGACUUUAUUUAAUACUUCUAAAUGAUAAGAUUCUUUUUGAUGUGACACCUCUAAACUUUAGACUCUAGAAAACGAACACACCAUUAGUACUGAACAAACAGCCCCAUUGUUAGGCACAGAAGCAUUUAUGCUGUUGCCUGUAGCAAACUUAGAAGCAGCAUUAAAGACAGAUCCAGGAGAUAUGAUCAGUGAUCCUGACAGAAAUAGUGGUGUUAUUUAUCUGUCAAAUAUGGGAGAAUGAAUGCGGCAUCAACAGGGCACCAGUGGUCUAGUGGUAGAAUAGUACCCUGCCACGGUACAGACCCGGGUUCGAUUCCCGGCUGGUGCAUCACUUCUUAUGAAGAAUUUUUUACUUACGUAAUGCUGCAACCAGAACGCACAGAGCUCAUUUUGUUUUUUGACGUUUUUUUUACGUGAUGCUGAAGCCACAACGCACAACGGCACAAACGAAGAGCUCCAGCUCCUGAUAAUUUCGAAAUCAAACCAUGGAGCUUUGCUUCUCUUUUUUUUAGUUCCCAUCACAUGACGGGAGCAUGGGGCCAAGUGCACGAGGACAAGUCUUUGCCGCUUCUAUUCCUCUCUGAAAAACACGUAACGAAGCAACAAAAGGAGGCGAGGAGCGCGGCCGACCACACCAAUCAAUUCGAAAUGACACAUCAUUUUCGAACCCAGAAGCGCGUGAUGGGUUGAUCACUUGAACACUCGCUUGACCCUGCCACCUGCGGUACUGAUCCGCAACGCGGUGAAGUGCAAAUCCAUCCGCGGAAAGCAAACCAACUACUCCACCGGAGCAAAGCAAAGCAACCGUCACAGGCCGUAGCUGGAGAAGACGAGAGAGAGAUAGGCUACGCGCCGGAUGACCGGAAGGCGCCACGCAUCGACGGCGGCAACCCGGCACGGCGCCAGAUCACUACCACGGUGACGGCUGCAACGGCGACGGGCGCUUGGUUCCUCUUGCUGCGCCUGCCCUGCUCUCCUCCAGCGGGGGCACGACACGACGCGGCAGCGUGGAGGGCAUGUGCGGCGCGCAUCCACCCGCGCGAGGCCGCGGCCCCUUUGUCCGGGCGUGCCCGGCGAUUUGAAUCGUGGGUGGGCGUUUUGGUAAUUGGGCUACCGCAACGGGCGAAUCGCCUGGACUGGACCGUGGACUCGGACGGUGGUGGAAUCCGGCACAUCGCCGGCCAUUUGGGGCCUCGGGCUGUCCCAUGAUACGCCUGUCCCCUAUUUUCUUCUCUCCCUCUUCUUCUCAAUUUAAUUCACUUCUUGCUUGAAAUUGAACCCGAAUUAACGAAUCAGUUGGAUUACAUAAAAGAAGGUAUUAGCAUGGAUCUUAAAGAAAAUCAGAAACUUUUUAGCACGCACGCUACUCCCUUUUUCUCCAUGCGAUUUGCACGCUAUCUUUUGCUCCGUAACACCGGACAGCGUCUCUGUCCGGGAGGCCCCGGCGCGGGCGGCCGGCACGGCAGUGGAGGCGCCGCCCCGCCCCCCACGUGGGCUCCACGAGUCAAGCCGGGGACCGCGUGCCACGUCGCCCUCCUCCCCCGUCCCCCGGCACCGAAACGCUCGCGCGCCGAGAUGACCAAACCGCCCUCGCCCUCGCCCUGCCGCCCACUACUACCACUACCGCCACUCCCCCCACCUCCUCCGCCUCCUCUGCUUCGCGAUACGGGCGGCUAUAUCCGCUGGCGUCACGUCGCUCCGGGUCAUCCCACCGCGUCCCGGCGAGGAGGAGAUCCCUGCUCUGGAUCACUUGGGCCCCGUGUAGUAGUAUCCUCCUCUGCUGUCUCCGCUGUCCUCUCUCCCCCUCGAUUCAAAAGUUCCUUCGCUUUUCCGAUCCGUCCCCGCCAGGUUCUCCUCAUCCGCCGCGUCUUGAUUGCGGCCGCUGUCCAACUCCCCGGCCCCAUCUUCCUUAUUUGGUCCGUGGGAUUUUCCAGCACCCACUCGCAUGUGAAAAUCUCUCUUCUUCCUUUCCCGUGUUUCUGUCACACGGAUCGGGUGGGUGGAGGUCGGGGACCUCGAGCUGCAGGAAACCGUGUUUCGUGCGCAGCCUUCGUUCCUACAUCUCCGUUUCCUUGGAGCGGCGUCUCGCCGUCCUGUCUAUAGAAGCUCCCUUCCUGAUCGAUUCUCAUCAAUCUUGCAUCUCUCUUCGCCACAAAUUUAAAGCUUUCUUUGUUUGGACUUGUGGAAGCAAUAAGUCUUGAAGCUUCCUUAGUCUGAUUGCAUCCAGGAGGCCCGGCGUUGGUCUCUCCUGCUCCUGUCGAUUGGUUGCUGGGAGUUCAGAGCUGUUGAGAUCUUCACAGGCAGGCUCCGAUAUCAGCGCGCCGGGAUGGCGAAUCUAGCCGCGCUGCGUCCGUGGCUCUGCCUGCUGGCGGCAAUGGCGGCGGCGUCGUGGUCCGGCGUCGCGACGGUGGAGGCACUGGGGAUGAACUGGGGCACGCAGGCGACGCACCCCCUGUCGCCCAAGGUCGUGGUGCAGAUGCUGAAGGACAACGGCAUCAAGAAGGUGAAGCUGUUUGACGCCGACCAGGGCACGCUCAGCGCGCUCGCCGGCAGCGGCAUCGAGGUCAUGGUCGCCAUUCCCAAUGUCCUGCUUGACAGGAUCACCGACUACGACACCGCCAAGGAGUGGGUCCGGCACAACGUCUCGCGCUACAACUUCGACGGCGGCGUCACCAUCAAGUGAGCAACCAUUCUUCUGCUGCUCAUACAUGGCGCCGCGGCCGCGUGAUGUGUCUGCUCAUUCCUGUGUUGCAUUGCAGGUACGUGGCCGUGGGCAACGAGCCGUUCCUGGCGGCGUACAACGGCACGUUCGACAAGGUGACCUUCCCGGCGCUGCAGAACAUCCAGAACGCGCUGGACGAGGCCGGGCUCGGCGAUACCAUCAAGGCCACCGUCCCUCUCAACGCCGACGUGUACAUGUCCCCGACGGACAACCCGGUGCCGUCGGCGGGGCGGUGGCGGCCGGACAUCGCGGACCUGAUGACGCAGAUGGUGCAGUUCCUGAGCAACCACAGCGCGCCCUUCACCGUGAACAUCUACCCGUUCAUCAGCCUGUUCCUCAACGACAACUUCCCCGUGGACUUCGCCUUCUUCGACGGCGGCGCGACGCCCGUGGUGGACAACGGCGUGUCAUACACCAACGUGUUCGACGCCAACUUCGACACCCUGGUGGCGGCGCUCAAGGCGUCCGGGCACGGCGACAUGCCCAUCGUCGUCGGCGAGGUCGGCUGGCCCACCGACGGAGACAAGCACGCCACCAACGCGUACGCGCAGCGCUUCUACAACGGCCUCCUCAAGCGGCUCGCCGCCAACACCGGCACCCCCGUCCGGCCCAACCAAUACAUCGAGGUCUACCUCUUCGGCCUCCUCGACGAGGACGUCAAGAGCGUGGCGCCCGGCAACUUCGAGCGGCACUGGGGCAUCCUCCGGUACGACGGGCAGCCCAAGUUCCCGAUGGACCUGACCGGGCAGGGCCAGAACACGAUGCUGGUGCCGGCGCGCGGCGUGGAGUACCUGUCCCGAACGUGGUGCGUCGUCAACACCGAGUCGCCCAACAUGGACAAGCUCGCCGACAACAUCAACUUCGCCUGCACCUUCGCCGACUGCACGGCGCUGGGCUACGGCUCGACGUGCGGCGGCAUGGACAGCAACGGCAACGCAUCCUACGCCUUCAACGCCUUCUUCCAGAUGAAGGACCAGGCCGACGAGUCCUGCGACUUCCAGGGCCUCGCCAGGCCCGCGCAGACGGACCCGUCCACGGCCGCCUGCAACUUCACCAUACAGAUCGCCACCACCUCGGCGGCGGGGCACCGGCGGCUCGCCGGGCCGCGCCGCGUGGCCGCCGCCGCCGCCGUGCUGUUCUUGGCGCAGCUGAUGAUCCUGCUGCAUUAGAGUGUGUGCACUGCUUAGAUAGGCAGGUUAUCGUUGAUCUUUGGUUGGUUUGGGGGCAUUUUUUUGCAGGGCGCGCUUGGAGAUUAUAGUUUGUUCGUUUGUUGGGGUUAUUCUUGGCGAAAUAAUUGGUAGGAACCAGUAGAAAGUGUUGUACUGGAGAUAUACAUGCGUACUUCAGGUUCGGAAUAUAUACUGAUGCGAGAUGCUGGACAUUGUAGUCAUGUCAUUUAAGCUUGUACAAUGAUGCAUGAAGAUACAGCAGCUCGUUGAAACACACUGAGCUGAACUGCUGAUACAAAUCAUUGGAGCUAGAUGACUGACGAGUGAACAGUUUCAUCAGUGGUUACUUCCAAAAAAAAAGUUUCAUCAGUGGGCACCAUGUGUCCACAUCAGUUCAGGAUGCAGGGUUGGAACUUGGGAGUUGUAGCUUGUAGGUGAUCCAGAUUCGCGCUAUACUAGUGCCAACCACAUGACUUGAAUCGAAAUCCGAGAUGCGUAGGAGAUGCACAUGGUCCCCAGAUCCAGCAUAAGAACAUGGACACAUGGUGUCAUGGUCUAGAUGAACAACCUUUCUCAAUCUCUCGUCCAAAGUUGGAACUCGUUCCGGGCUUCCAUACGCAGGUGAAGUAACCAAUAAACCAGCAGAAGAAGCUUUUCCGAAUCAGCCGUGCACAUGGAGCCUCCAAUUUUCUGCCGGUUUCGUUUCGAGUUUUAAUCAGUUAACAGUUGAAGGAGCCCAAGUUUUCUCGAUGGAUCCACCUGACCUCCUCAUACUCUGCAGCAAGCUCUCUUUUGCACAAGGUCAAGUUGCAGAAGGUGUAUCUGAAUCUCACGCAAAGCACACAAGAAAAAUCAACGGAAUGACCAACUAGCCACUGCAGCGAUGCUGCAGCCCGUCGCAGCCCAAUGGGCCGGAUUAGUGACUGGACCAACUCCUGAGCUGGUUGGCCGAAGCAAAAAACUGUAAUUCUCAGUAGAACGAUGAGCAAAGUUCAGAUAGUGGCGGACGCAGAGCUCGCAAGCAGAGCUGGAGAACAAAGCGGCACCGUCGGAGUAAAUCUCUAGCCGGGUGGUGGAAUGCAUCCGUCUAAUUCUAGUCUAGAAUAAGUUUGGAAGAACUUAAAACACUAGAUCAAGAGGUGAAUGAACACGGAAAGCACACAAGGGUUUAGAGUGGUUCAGACCGCCGGAGCGUAAAACCCUACGUCCACUGUAUGUUAUAUUACUUGUGAGAACUUAAAACUUCUGAGAGCUUGUGAGCUUGGGAGUCUCUGAAUCCUCCAGAACUUGUGUUUUAACGAGCAAGCUUUCUCUUUUAUAGGCUCAAAGGGAACGCGUACACUGAGUGGGGUCCCGAUAGGUGGAUCCGGCGACAUAUUAGAUAACGUACACAUUGGAGCCUUUAUGCCACAUAUUCAGAAAUCUUUCUCUUCGGCUCCUCCCUGUAGUCCUUGAUCGGGAAGUUGAUGUGCAUAUCUUCUAACAGGGUACGGUCAUGUACCGUUUCACCGGCACAGUGCCUGCUGUCAAUGACAUGCACAGUGUAAGUCGUGCUGUCACUGUUGGAUCAAUUCCCGAUGACGGGCGAAGGGGCUGUGUUGACCUGCCGUGUUGUAGCCUCCGCGCAUCCUGUAGCAGCGCACGCUGCAGCCCUUCUGCAGCAGAUCAUAAUUACCCUUUGCUCACGCGCGCGGCGCUGUGACGUGACUACACGCCGUCCGCCUUCAUAUGCGGUGUGGUGAUGCGACGCGUCGCCUCGGUAACUGGCGGGCUUACCGUGGUGUCAGCAUACCUACCCGACGUGUCAUGGACAGCCCACGCCCUGACCCGGGCACGCGCACCCCACCUACCGGCAUUACUGGCGUCCCGCAGAAGGCUGGCUGCCACCGGACACGUAGCAGAGCUGGCUUAGUAGCCGAUUCCUCAGGGGCACGUGGCGACACCGGACCUCCUCCCCGGAGGGAAGGGAGGUCCGGACCCCUGAGGCCGACCCAGGUGCACAGGUCCCCAGAGGGUCUGGCUUCCACACGUGGCGGCACCGGACCACUCCGCGGGGGUUCUGGCCCGUGGUGGCCGUUCAUGAGCACCUUGUCCUUGUGGGCAUAUGGAGACGCCGGACCUGUUAGAGCACGGGGUGAGAUCCGAAGACCGCGACCCUAACUGUCAGGCCCGGACCGUACACCCUGUCAUCCAAAUGUAUAGGAUGAGGUUAUGGAUACCCUUGCAUCCUUUUCGGGCUGGAUACCUCGCAGGAGGUAUCCUGUCCGUACUUACCGACAGGCACCGUCAGGGAACGGGAACGAGCAAAGGGGCAAGCCAUGUGCCGUGCUGACGUGAACGCAAGCAUUGCUGUCUCUGCACUUGCCAAUGGCAUUUCAAAUUGUCCUCAUAUAUGCUGAAGGUUGCACUGCCACACUAACUUGUCUCAUGACUAAGACAUUUAGGCACAGGUGAUAUUAUGAUGCAAUGCAAGCAACCAUAUGUAAGCCUGAAACUUAUAGAAAUCGAAAGACAUGUUUACAGUGUAGGACAAAGACUCUGAUGAUCGCCUCCUGCGCAAGGCAUAACUGAACUUUUACAGCAACAGGCACAAGUACGAUGAUGAAGAGUCAGUUUACACCUUUUUUUUGUGAAAGUGUACAUCUAAUUCGAAAUCGAAUAAGAGACAGAAUUUGCAGGAGUGCAAUCAGGAUUUGCAGGGAGCUGUGGAAGCAGCAAACGAGCACAGCUGCGUUCGAUUUCGAUGACUUCCUCAGCUUCUCUCCUUCCAGCCGACAGCCAGAGCAAGUGGCCAUCGGCAUCGUAGUAGAGGUGCAUCAAACUCAAAAACACCUGACCACCGGCUGAGAGACAAAUUUGUGCAUCAAAGGACACGGACACUGAAAGUAAAACAUUGAAUUUCGUCCUUGGAGGUGUUCAUGUGCACACGCCGACAUGGUUCGGUUCGAUGUGUCCUCUCAAGUUCAAUUUCCUUGAACUCUCGUUCAUAAGCCAGCUGACCUGUUGAGCCGGAGGGCGGCGGCGAGGCCAGCCAGGCGGCGUGCCAGGAUGACAGGCGGGAGCUACUUAAUUGGAAACAGGGAGCUCGCCGGGCGGCGGCGGCAGCAGCAAGAGCGGCACUGCGGCAGGAUGACGGGAGGUAGCACUGAACUAAGCAAUCUAGUGCGCCCACGCACGGCUUGGGAGCUCUCCGGAGGGUGGCGGCGACGGCGAGGCCGGGGAAGCGGCGCGGCGAGCGGACUUCUAAGCGCUCGGCCCAUUCAACGUCCCGUUUGCCGUGGGUCUCCCUUGCUUAAUCUCGACCGUCGGUUUAGGAUUAAACGGUUCACAGCUACCUGGGAUGGACGGUAAAUGAAAUACCGUCCACCCCUGGUGGUGGCGAGGAGAGGCCAGCGCGGCAGCGCCGGCCGCCGGUGAGAUGCAAGGCGGCGAGGGAAGCCAUGGAUAGGAUCCGAGGGCCUCCCCACCCCCUAGCAGCAGCGCGGCCAUCGACAGGCAUCUCCCAGCUCGGAAGCAGCGUCGCCGCGGUAGGCCAGGCCAGGCGCGCCGCGUGCCAGGCUGCCGGCGUUGCCGCUGCUUCUGCCAGUUGAACAAGUACGAAUCACUCUGUUUAUUUGGAGCUUCAGUACUGAAACUAGUGCGAGAUCAGAACUGAAGGUCCCUGGACCCCCUUCAAGCUUCCAGCUGCGUGCGUACGCAUAUCAGCACGCGAUGCACUGGUCUGGCUCACGGCACACGGUGGGCGAUCGACUCAAGAGCAAACAGGCUGCGGGUUCGACGUGACGGCUGGACUGCGAUCGAGCAGGUGAUGAUUAUCCGUGGACGUCAACGGCGAGCUUCAUCCCCGAGACGCAGUGGCCCUCGACGCCGCAGAUGAAGAACCACCGCCCGGCCUGCCGCAGCGCCACGCGGUCGUCCCCGGAGGCCAGCGUCGGCGCGUUGCUCGGCACGGCGCACGCCGCGUAGCUCUGCGCGUCCACCACCACCACGUUGUGGAACCCCUCCGAGUACAGGAACUCUGAGAUCGACAUCAACCAGUCGGCGGUUAGCUAGCCCAUCAACGGGGGCCUGCGAACACGCAGGCAACACCAUGCCGCGCCGUGCGCGUCGUGUUAUGCCACGAUCAGUCACGUACCGAGCGUGUCGCCGACUUUGAACUUCUUUCCGGCGGCCCAGGCAUCGUAGUCCACCCCGUUGUCCCAGCCGGAGUCGUCGCCGACCCUGUACGACGCCGCCGCGGACACCGUCGCCGGGAGUAGAACAACCACGGCAAUCGCCGCGGCGAUGAGCACUGUCGCGCGCGAGGCCAUUGCGUAGAGCAACGGAUGCCGAGCGAGCAGAGCACUGCAGGUCUCUGAGGGGUUCACCGGACGCUGCAGUGGCUGGGGCUAUAUAUGGGUACUGCUUCUGGGUAUCAGAUCGAGUUGACAGUUGAGAGCUGAUGCCCAUAUACACGUCAGCGAGCACGGAACCAUGGAAAACGUACGGUGGCUGGGCGCCUGUGACUGUGAGCUUGCAACGUUGGUGCGUCCACCGGUUUCUUUGGCUGCGUGGCGAGAAGACGGCUAGUUGUUCCUGCGGUGUAACCGAUGGAGGACGAGCGAUGGCACCGGGCCUGCAGGGCCCUGGAUUCAUCGCCGGGUUGCGCUGGUUCCUUUGACGAGCGAUGGUAACACGAAGAGAACACCGCGCCGCAAGGCAAGGGCACGUCUCGUAACAGCAGUGAUCACUGUCUGCUGUUCGUCGUGCGCCCGCCACUUCAAUAUUAUUGGGCCUACGCGGCAUGCUGCUCCCGGCGACUGCGCCGGCCAGGCCUGUGAAAAGAGCCGGGGAGGAAUGCCGGCCGGCGGCGAGGUUCUCCGGUGUAUCCUGCCGGCGUGCGCGAGAUCCGGGGUUUCUGUUUCUCCGGAGGCCGCGAGGCGCCUGACAACCUAUGUGCGCGAGAUUCUCCGAAGUUGAUGGCAUGAAGAACAAGCCGUUGGAUCAGUACGCGCUCUACGAGAAUCCAGUAGAGGCGUAAGUGCUAUGGUGGUUCUGAUCCUAGCAAUGCGUUUCUCCACUCAGCCAUAUCAUUGAACAAGCAUUCCAGGAGACAAGGCGCUUGUAUAUUUUACCCGUAUUCAUUUAUCACAAACGGAGCCAUUUUCAUACGGUCCACCAGUAAUCAGUAGAAGUUUGUGCGUCGAGCAUGCAUGCUGACCUCUUGCUAUUAGAGUUAAUGGGGAUGAGGUCAGGUUUCUUAUUUUCAGUCAUGUAUGCAGCGCAUUCUUGGGGUUCAUGGAAUUAAAUUUUGUGCCACAUAAUUAAUUUUGCUGACAUGUUGAAGAGAGAGGAGGGAGUCUCAUAGGAUGAGAGAGGAGUUUCGUCCCUAUAAAACUCAGCCGGCAUAAUUAUCUAGUUCUCAAUCUUGAUAACUCUACCGUGAAACUGUGCACCGAAACUGGUCUAGAAAUGUAGGGAUAGGAAAAGCUUAAAUUAAAGGCCGGUUUAAUUUCACUCCAAAGGGAAACAUUGGCCUAAGAAAACUCGAAUUGGAAUAAGUCAAUUGGAGUAAACUUGACUGAAUGGAUAAUCGGACAGGACUGCUGGGACAUACAUCACUCCGUUUAUUCGUAAGCUCGUUCUGGUAUCUGAAAUGCUAAGAUGAACUAAUUGAAGAAGACACUGCUAUGAAAACGCCGACGGACGACGCAAGCAGCUAGCAGACGGCGAUCUCGAGGCUAAGACAUACGACAUACGUGACGGCCAAGCUUAGCUAUAGCCGAUCAGUGGACGUUGACGGCGAGCCUCAUGCCGGAGCUGCACUCCCCCUCGGCCUCGCAGAUGAAGAAGAACUGCCCGACCUGCCCCAGCACCACGUGGUCGUCGCCGGAGGUCAGCGCCACCGCGUUGUCCGGCGCCACGCACUCGGCGUAGCCCCUCGCGUCCACCUGCACGACGUCGUGCUCGGGCGUCGAGUACCGGAACACUGCGAGAGGGAGCCGACCAACCAGCAGGUUAGUUACGACUAUGGAGUAGUAGUUACUUAGCCACGCCGCGCGCGUCGUGGGCACGCACGCUUAUGCCCGGAGGCCUGCGUAGCGUACGUACCGAGCGUGUCGCCGACCUUGAACUUCUUGCCCCUGGCCCAGGCGUCGUAGUCGACAACGCCGUUGUCCCAGCCGGCGUCGUCCCCGACCAUGUACGUCGCCGCGGACGCCGGCGCCGGGAGCAGAGCGGCCGCGCCGACGACGGCCGCCACGGCUGCGGCUAGGAGCAGCGUCCUAGGCGACGCCAUUUAAUUUGCUGCGUCGCGAGAGGGUAAUUAACGGGGGCGCGUACAGCUAGUGCUUGGUGUUUAUUUGUUCGCCCGGGGAUAUGAUGCUGCUGCGCUUGCUUGGCAUCAGAUCAGUUGGCCGCGCGUAUGUACAGGCAGACACCACCGUGCGCGGCCACCGUUUAGAGUUGGUGCGACCACCGCUGGCGUUGGCUGCUUGGCUACCGGACGCGAGUCCUAGCGGAGCAUCCGACGCGACUCCAUGGGAGGAACACGACGACGCGACUCGGGCCAGACAGAGUUGACAGAUUCAACAGCACGUGUGAGAAGUUAGGCGGCAUGCUUGGCGCGAGCCGCGGAGCACUAGGCGGAGCACACUAGGCUCAAGGACGUGCAUGGUCGCGCACGGGGCCGCGGCGGCGGUGCCGAUCUCGUCGACGUCGACGCUCUUCCGCUUCUCCGCCAUCGUUACCGUGCGGACUGCGGAGCGUCAUCGAUCGAGGGCACUGCAACGUCGGGUGGGUUGGGUGCGGCUUUAUAAGGACACGUGCCAGGGCGACACGGCGUGGCCGACGGAGGCGGUGCUGGUUCGGAGCGUACGCCGUACGCGACCUUUCUCCUGUUCGGAGCAGAUGCAUUCGUGACUCCGAACCGAAAAAAAUCUCUGGUUCCGCCUCGCCGACCUUGACAAACAUGAGUACAUGACCUCUCUUCCGGCACCUCUCGUACGGUACGGCCGCGGCGGUUUCAUGCGAGCAGAGGGGUGGCGCAGACGAAUCACUAUUGCGAGUUGAUCGCCGCCGCCGGUCGCCGUCCAGCUUGGCGACGACGAAGCACAGGUGCUGCUCGUGCGGCCGCCGGAACGCCCAAACCUCGACACGGUCGUCCUUCUUGAAGCCGCUGGCUGCGACGAACCUCCCGUAUCCAUGGCCGUUGAUCACCAUGGCCUUGGUGCUUCGGAACGAGUUUAGCCUCAGCGCCGACGCCGCGCUCGUAGACGAGCACCGGCACCCAUGGCCAUGGGUACCUCGUCUUGUGUCGUCCCUCUUCUUCUUCGCGCCCGUGAUGAUCAGGACAGCUCUGAUUCGAGCUUCAGAACGACAAGCAAAGGUCGCGCGCGACGAAUGCGUCCUGCGAGCGCCUCCUCGCUGUUCGUCCCCGUCUCCGGGAGCCACGCGCUCUCGACGCGGCGGCCUUGGGGCAGCACCUCAACUCCCGACGGGGCAGGGCUGUAAGCGGGCAAGCGGCGACGCGCGAGGAGUCAGGAGGCUGCGUGGAUUCGUCUGAGAGCGACUAAUGGAUGCACAGCGGCGCUGCGCGGAGUCGCGGAGGCCAGCGGUGGCGGCGCGACCUCGCCGGGGGCAGCAAUGCCCGCUGGCCUCCAAUAUUUGCAAACAAACCCCCCAGCUCUAUUAUAAAUAUUUAUAUAUUAACCCCUUUACUUUACAAAUAACCUCCUUAUUGGGAUCGCGAUCCGAAUAUUUACAAAUAGAACCCCUAUUAUUUACGGAUAACCCCUAGCUAGUUCGGAUCGACUCAGCCUCUCCGGCGACGGCCGCCGCCAACCGUCAUCCUCGCUGCCGGAAUCGGCAUUUUCCGUUCAAACCUCCAGUCAACCCUCCUCUUCGCUGCCUACCACGGCAAGGACAGGACAGGAAAAGACAUGAGGCGAGCGGUUCGUCACUCCGAGCGGAGCGAGCAUAGGCCGCGAGCUUGACUUCACGUCGGGAGCUCGGCUAUGGCGGCUCGUCCCCGUAGCUUGUUUUGGAAUCUGAACUACUCUGGCAGCCCUUUGAACAUGGUGCUGGAUUAAUCCUCCCUAGUAUUUUUUUUCUUGCAAUAAUUUCAUCCGGAGUGGUAGGCAUCCAACUCUGUUUGGGGCUGUACCAAAUCAUCAUCGCUGAUUGACAAAAAGAUCCGCUGGGAGCGAACAAGCCAUCAUUUGCAUCAUCUUGGACUCUUGGCUUGCUUUAGCACUGAAUCCUUGAUGAAAUUCUGAUGAACUCGUCUGCACCUGAGCUCUGGAUUCCUGCCUCUGCAGCUCUGCAUCUGCCUGUGCUUUCUGGUACUGCAAAAGGAAGGGUACUCUGAAGAUGUAACUGAAACCAGGAUUAGCAUCUGAUUCAAAUAUAAAGUAUUACUAUGUCUGGACCUCAAAAGGAAGGCACAAGUAGGGUGAUGAAGAGUCAGUUUACAUCAUCUUCUUCUUCUUCUUUUGUGAAAGUGUACCUCUAAUUCGUACAAGAGAGAGAAUUUGUAGGAGUGCAGGCAGGAUCUGCAGGGAGCUGUGGAAACAGCAAACGAGCACAGCUGUGUUCAAUUCAAAAUGGGAUAUAUAUAUAUAUAUAUGUAUAUAUAUGUAUGUAUAUAUAUAUACACAUACAUACAUACAUAUAUAUAUAUAUAUAUACACGUGAAACCAUUCCGGCCCCGCGCACGCCGGCAGGGGGCGCGACGCAAGCAGCCGACCGCGAUGCCGAGGCUCACCACGACGUGACGGCCAAGCAGCUUAGCUCUAGCCGACCCGAUCAGUGGACGUUCACGGUGAGCUUUAGGCCGGAGCUGCAUUCCCCCUCGGUGUCGCAGAUGAAGAAGAACCGCCCGGCCUGCCCCAGCACCACGUGGUCGUUGCCGGAGGUCAGCAGCACCGUGUUGUCCGGCGCCACGCACUCGGCGAAGCCCCGCGCGUCCACCUGCACCACGUCGUGCUCGGGCGUCGAGUACCGGAACACUGCGAGCGAGAGCCGACCAACCAGGUUAGUUAGCUAGUUAGCCACGCCGCGCGUCGUCCGCCGCGCCGUGGGCACGCCAUGCGUACGUACCGAGCGUGUCGCCGACCUUGAAUUUCUUGCCCCUGGCCCAGGCGUCAUAGUCGACGCCGGUGUCCCAGCCGGCGCCGUCCCCGACCAUGUACGUCUUGGCGGACGCCGGCACCGGGAGCAGAGCGGCCGCCAUGGCUGCGGCUACGAGCAGCGUCCAAGGCGACGCCAUUUGCUGCGUGGGGGGAGCGGGUGCCGGGGCGCGUACAGUGCUUGAUGUUUGUUUGCCCGGGGAUGCUGCUGCGCUUGCUUGGCAUCAGAGUUGGCCGCGCAUAUUUAUACGCAGACACGACCUUGCGGCCUUACCCGGCCGCCGUUCAUGGUUGGUGCUUGGCGACAGGACGUGUGCUCUAGCGGAGUACCCGAGGCAACUUCUUGCCAGGCACACGACAACGCGGCACGGCACGUCGUUGUUGGCAGGGAGCCUGGGUUCGUUUAGGUUCAUAAUUUGCUGGAAGUAGUAGAGUUGAUCGAUUCGACAAGCGCAAGAAGUUGGGCCGCAUGGCGCCGGCCGAGCACUGGGCUGAAGGAGUACAGUGGCAGCCGCUGCCGGCGUGCGCAAGCUACGGCGUCUCUCCGGUGUCCGGCUGGUGCCUGAGAGCUUAUGGUUGUGUGUCUGCGAGUUCCUGUACGUACCACCCUGCACGCCUAUUGUGAUCGAUCAGUUCAAGACACCUUGUCGUCGUCGUUGCCUGGAUCCGGCCGGGAACGGUGCAGAGCCUCUAGCUCUAGUACGUGCCUUAUUAUCCAGACAAGGUUUGCAGCAUUAUUACUCAGACACGUGAAAAUAAAGAGAACGAGAACGAAACAAGGGUAACCGAUCGACGAAUUUACAAGUCAUCAUCCACAAUUUUAAACAGCAGAGUAGGCUAGUGCUGGCUGCAAACUAGUACUAGCACAGCACACUACGCGUUCGUCGUCGAUGCGAGCAUCGGUUGCCUGCCUCAGAUCUUGGCGAUCUUGUCGGCGACCACGACCGGGUUGUUCUUGGCGAUCCGCUCGCGGCCGGCGCCCUUGUAGUCGAAGCCGCAGGCGUGCUUCUCCGCGUAGCGAUGCGCGCCGCAGAAGGUCUCGCCGCAGCAGCACCGGAACCCCAGCAGGCCAACCUUCUUGCGGCACGCCGCGCACCGGCUCGCCGCGGGCUUCACGGCCGUCGCUGGCUCGGCAGCGGCCGCGCCAUCGGCGCCACCAUCUGGGGACGGCGCGACGGCGGCAGCGGCGCACGUGAUGAUCCUGGCCUUCUUCUCCGGCACCGCGCCGCGGGGUGCUGCGGGCGCGAGGGCGCUCGUCUUGAAAACGUCCUGCAUCUUCUUCCUCUCGUCGGUGGGCGCCGCGGCGCCGCCGUGCUCGCGGUAGCACUUGGAGCACAUGCCACCGGUGGCCGGGUUGCCGAAGAAGCCGCACCCGGUCGCGCACGGGCCCGCGGUGGCGGCGCCGGUCUCGUCGACGUCGACGCUCUUCCGCUUCUCCGCCAUCGCUACCGUUCGGAGCGUCGUCGAGUGCGUGCUGUGGCCGAAAACGUCGUCCGUCGAGGAGGGAGCGUGACGAGCUUGUUCGCGUCGAUCGAGUGCAAUGCAACGUCGGGGGUAGGUUGGGUGCGGCUUUAUAAGGACACGUGCAGGGCGACACGGCGUACGCCGUACGCGACCUUUCUCCUGUUCGGAUCAGAUGCAUUCGUGACUCCGAACCGAAAAAAUUUCUGGUUCCGCCUCGCCGACCUUAACAAACAAUAAUCUCUCUUCCGGUACCUCUCGUACGGUCGCGGCGGUUUCACGCGAGCAGAGGGGUGGCAUAGCCGAUUCACUCUUGCGAGUUGAUCGCCGCCCGCCGGUCGCCGUCCAGCUUGGCGACGACGAAGCACAGGUGCUGGUCGUGGAAUGCCCAACCUCGACGCGGUCGCCCUUCUUGAAGCCGCUGCCCGCGACGAAUCUCCGUACCGAUGGCAGUUGAUCAACGUGGCCUUGGUGCUGCGGAACAAGUUCAGCCUCAGCGCCGCCGUGGCCUUCUCCGCGCCGCGCGCGUAGACGAGCACCGGCACCCCUGGGUACCUCGUCUUGUCGUGCCUCUUCUUCUUCGCAUCAGUGAUGACAAGGAUAGCUCGAUUCGAGCUUCAGAACGACGAGAAAAAGGUCGCCGCGCGAUGAACGCGUCAUGCGAGCGCCUGCUCGCUGUUCGUCCCCGUCUCCGGGAGCCGCGCGCUCUCGACGCGGCGGCCUUGGGGCAGCACCUCAGCUCCCGACGGGGCAAGGCUGUAAGCGGCAAGCGGCGACGCGCGAGGAGUCAGGAGGCUGCGGAAUGGCUCGUGGAUUCGUCGGAGAGCGACCCAUGGAUGCACCGUGGUACAGCGCGGGGCUCGCGGGUGGCGGCGCGACCUCGCUGGGGGCAGCAAUGCCUGUGGCCUCCAAUAUUUGCACAAGACCCGUUUGAAUACAAAUAUUUGUAAAUUAUCCCCUAACUUUACGUCCCGUCGUCCCCUGGUUUGGAUCGCGAUUCAUAAUCGCGAUCCAAAUAUUUACAAAUAGAGUACCGGUUAUUUACGGAUCACACCCUAGUUCGGAUCCACCCGUCCCGUCCGGCGAGCCGCCGCCGCCAACCGCCAUCCUCGAUGUAGGAAUCCGGAUUUCCCGUUCAACCCUCGGCUCCGCUGCCUACCAUGGCAAGGACAAGAUAGGAAAAAAUAUGGGGCCAGCGGUUCGUCGGCUUCCUAGCGGAGCGAGCAACAACGGCCACGAGCUUGACUUCACGUCGGAAGCUCGGCUAUGGCGGCUCGUCCCCGUUGCUUGUUUUGGAAUGUAAACUACAUUGUCAGGCCUUUGAACAUGGUGCUGGGUUAAUCCUCCCGUGGUAUUUUUUUUUUCUUGGAGUAAUUUUAUUCGGAGUGGUAGGAAUCCAACUCUGUUUGGGGCUGGACCAAAUCAUCGCUGAUCGACAAAAAGAUCUGCUGGAAGCGAACAAGCCAUCAUCAGGAAAAUAAGUUUUUGCAUCUUGAAGUCUUGGCAUACUUUAGCACUGAAUCCUUGAGGAAAUUCUGAUGAACUCUUCUGUGUCUGGGCUCUGGAUUCUUUGCCUCAGCGACUCCGCAUCUGCAUGUGCUUUGUGGUACUGCAAAAGGAAGGGUACUCUGAAGAUGUAACUGAAACUAGGAUUAGGAUCUGAUUCAAGUAUAAGACAUUACUAUCUCUGGACCACAGAAAGAACACGGGAACUAAUUAAUUAACUUCAGUAAGAAGUGAGCCUUGCUGUCGCCAGUGACUACUUUUAUCCCAUUCCAGGUAAAAUUUACUUACAUGGUUUUUUUUAUGAAACAGGAGGGGGAGGGGGUUCCCCUACUGAUUCUAUUAAAAUAAAAGCGAACCAAAGAAAACGAACCAGUACAGCAGUUUCAAGAAACAAAAAGGUGAGAAAAAAAUAAAGAAGAUUACAACAAGGCUUCUAGCCAUGUACACUACCAGAAAUUUUUUUUUUUACCGAGUGUCAAGUGUUUUGCCGAGUGUUUUUAUUCGGCACUCGGCAAAGAGCUCGACACUCGGCAAAGAGGCUCUUUGCCGAGUGCAUUUUUUAGACACUCGGCAAAGAAUCUCUUUGCCGAGUGCCUUUUUUCGACACUCGGCAAAGAGUCCAUUUGCCGAGUAUUUUUUUAGAACACUAGGUAAAGAUAAUUUUUCAAAUCAUAUUUUGAAGUAGUAAAUUAAUUCAAACAAAAAUAUUGUCAGCUACAAAGUUGUAUAACUCAUCAAGAUGCACAAUUUUUAUUUUGGUCAUUUCUUCAUUUGAUAAAAUAAAUAUAAAUUUGUUCACAAAACAUAUAUAUCUCUCUCGUAGUUUAUGAAACUAUGAGAGAGAGAUAUAAGAUUUAUGAACAAUAUUAGAAUUAUCAUGUUAUAUGAAGAAAUGACAAAAUAACCAAAAUAAACUUUGUAGAUCUUGAGAAGUUAUAAGAUUUUACAGUUGGCAACAUUUUAAUUUGAAGUCAUCUUGUCAACAAAAACUACAUAUGAAUUUAGAAAAUUUAAAAUUCGAAUUUUGCAAAUGACCUCGAAUGGAAAAAACCACCAAAAUUAAAGUUGUAGAUCUCAAAAAUUUAUGAAAGUUUGUAGUUGAUAACUUUUGAUUUGAAAUCAUUGUGUCAUAUUAAAAUACGUUUGAAGUUUUCAAAUUUAAAAUUCAAAUUUUGUAAACAAUCUCGGAUGAAGAAACUACCAAAAUAAAAGUUGUAGAUCUCAAAAAGUUAUGACACUUUGUAGUUAACAAUAUUUUCAUUUGAAUUUAUUUACUAUCUCAAACAAAUAAUUUACGCUCGGUUAAUUAUAAUAUGUGGAGAAUAAAAACGUAACGUUGACACAUUUGAUCCAAUGGUGCAGUGGGAGAGGAAGUUGUUUGUGUGCAGGAGGUCGUGAGUUUGAAAUCUAUCAUCGACAAUUUAUGAAAAAUUGCUGAAAUGGGUCAGUAGCUGGCUGUGCAUGCCUCCCCCAAUAAUUUUUUUCUUGUUUCUUUUUUUGCAUUUUUCUGAUUUACAUUUUGCCGAGUGCUUCUCUUUGCCAAGUGCUUUUUGUUGCCGAGUGCCCCAGGCACUCGGCAAAGAAGGUAAAUCCGGUAGUGAUAUUGACAUAUUUGCUUUGUGUCUCACUUUUGCUCUUACAAUAGUUAAGGCAAACUUUUUUUUAAAGUGUUCCCGGCAAUUAUCUGGAUGAGGAUGAAGGCCCUUGAAAAUGAGGUCGUUGUGUUGCAUCCAAAUGUACCAACUCAUUAAAAUUAUAACAUCCAUGAAGAAGGGAAUAGCAAGUUGAGCUCUGAACUGUUUAAGAGUUUGAAAAUGAUCACCAGGGUCACCAACCAAAAGAUUGAUAGAGGACCAGCAUUCUUGUGCUAAGGGACAGCCAAUGAAGAGGUAUUCUAAGCUUUCUUCAAUAUUCUAGUUACAGCACACAUAGCUGUAUGACAAUAAGAUCAUAUUUUUUCUCCUGAGGAGGCCUCUGGUGCUCAACCUAUCUUUGAGCAGAAGCCAAAAGAAAAUCUUAUGUUUAUUUUGACAGGCUGAAUUCCACACCCAUUUAAAAGCAGGAUGCACCAUCCUAUGUCCAAUGAGAUGGAGAUAGGCUCCGGAGAAGGAAAAGAGAGGGGACCCCCAAAUAUAAGACCACACAUCUGGUUCAGGUAAAUCCAGCAAAUAUGAAAGACUUUGAGCUAAGUCUAAAAGUUGUUGGAAGGCAACAGAUGACAAGGGAGGUCAAGUAGGGCUUCAGAACCAUGGAUCUUCUUGGCUGCCAGAAGGGAAACUCCGUUGUUUCUAGCAAAGGAGAAGAGUUCAGGGAAAUGCUGUUUAAGAACUCUCUUGUUUCAAAGGUCCUCCUAGAGUAGGCAGCUAGCAUCAUCUAGAGUAGUUACCAUGGCCAUCCCUUUAAAGGAGUCAAGGAGUUUGGUUAUCUCUCCACCAAAAAGAUCUUUUUCUGACUGGAAGGUGGAGAACCAGACUUCUAGAUAAGAUGGACCCAGGGAAUAUCAAACCUGUUAAAAAAUUUGUGCAUAUUCUUCAGCGGCAGAUUCUCAUUUUGUGCUCUCAACUUUAGAACACCUAGACCUCCUUCUUUCUUGGGUAGACAAACCAUUUCCCAAGCUGCUUUUGGUAUUAUUUUGGCACUCUCCUAAGAUAAUAUUGUUUAUAUUUGUCCACUGCUUGAUAACUGUUUUGUGCAACUGAAAAGUACUCAUAAGUACAUUGGAAGGGCUGAAAAAAUAGCAUUUGUAACCUCCAAUCGUCCAGCUUGGGAAAAAAAGGUAGAAGUACAGACAAAUCUUCUUUCACAUUUCUUACCUAGUGGAAGAAAAUCGAUAAUCUUGGGUUUUGUCGAACCAAAAGGUAAACCUAGGUAUGUGAAGGGCAGGGUGCCAACUUCACGGCCAAAAGAGUGAGUGAGGGAAGCUGAGGUCUGAUCUUUCAUAUUAAUUGGCACAAGCAAAGAUUUAGCAUAAUUGACUUUAAAACCAGUGGAAUCAGAGAAACACUGAAGCGGUUUUCAGAUGGCCAGCUGAGUGCUGCAUCCUUCCAUGAUGAUCAAGGUAUCAUCAGCAUGCUGAAGAAUUGAGAAGUCUUGUGAGUGUUGCAGUGGGAUUGGCAUAUGUAACUGUCCAAAAGACCUUGCUUGAUUCAGAAUACUCUGCAGAAGAUCAACUGCCAAAAUAAAAAGAAGUGGGGAGAGUGGAUCACCCCGCCUGACUCCUCUUCUUGCAACGAAACGUUUUACCCGGAACACCAUUCAAGAGAACUGAAGAGGUGCCAGAGGAGAGAAAAUGAGUUGCAUCCACUGUAACCAUUUGGGGCAAACCCUUUAUGCUCCAUAAUUUACUUAACAUGUUUAUAAGGUAAAUGCAUCCAGGACAUUGCUCCCUGUUUGUUCAAUGCAGUUAGGUCUAGAAUUGCAAGAUGCAGAACGGUCGCACAAGGGCUUGUAAAUGACAGGUGGGUGCGCGAUAUAUCUGGGGCUCUUACCGUGCAAGUUAUUCUGGAUUUUCUCCUUGUUUAGGAUGCAACCAGAGCGGUGCAACUAAGGCAGGGCACACAUGACAAGUUCUUAUGGAAAUGGACAAGUGAUCAGUGCUUCUCCACUACCUCUGUUUACCGAGCAUUCUUCGUGCGCUUCUCCUUGUUAAUGUCAAUGAUUUCAUUCCAGGCAGCCAUUUGUUGCGAUACCGUACAAUUCUUUGCGGCAUGGCCCCUACUUGCGUCCUGCUCGACCGCACUGUUACCUUCCGCGACCAUCCCCUAGAGCCAGACCCACCGCUCGCAGGAGAAGGAGCAGCGGGCGUGGUCGGCGGCACCACCCGGCGGCAAUCAUCAUCAGAGGAUUCAGAGCCGCUUCUAAGCGUUGAAGCCAUCGAAGCAGAAAUUGCCAGGUACAUGCGGGCCACGACGCCAGAUCUGCAGGUCGUCGACCCCCCGGGGGUAAGCUGCCUCACCAUCGUGCGGUCUCACCCGUCCCAUCCGAUCCCAAAAUACGGAUACGGACGGAACCUGGAGUCCGGCUUGGCCGUCGCCGCCGACAAGAACUUGGUCCUCAUCUACGUCGGCUCCUACCGCCCAAUCUCUUCGUGCGGGGGAUGCUACUUGCUCUUGGACACCGCAUCUUCCUCACUCUCCAGGAUCCCCGGUGUCCACCACAAGUCCGCUCCUUACAUGUGCGCCGGCGCCGGGGCCGUCAUCAUGGCACGCGAAGGUGGCGCCUUCGUCCUCGCCGAGCUGCUCUUCAGACUCACCCCGCCCGGGGCGCCUGCGUCCGGCAAGCUCUGGCUCUUGGCAGAGCAGCGAGUGGGUCUGCAAGGUUGGCCACCUCCCCGCCGAGCUGUGCUACACGUGGAGGCUUCACACGUCCUUCUCUGUCCAAACUAGCAGGAACCUCUUCUGUUGGGCACGGAUUGCUGCUCUGCGAUCUGGGACGCUAUGGCGAGGUCGUCGACUCGCCGGACUUGGGCAUGUCUUCUGUUCCGCUGCCCCAUAGCUGCUCCAUCGGCGAACACCACCACCGGCGGCUGAACCCGCAAGACUUCCGCACCAUGGCCUGCGUUGACGGCACCAUCAAGCUUCUCACGAUGGAGGGCUUCAUGGAAGGCAACCCAAUUGCGCUCGUUACCUUUGCCCUGGACCUGGAUGGGCCAUCCCUACCUGGACGAAAGACACGGUGCUGCGUCUGGACGAUCUCUGGGCAGAUAAGACACUUAUCUCCAAGGGUGUUCCGCGGAUUACGCCAUUGUUCCCGAUGCUGAGCACGCAGGAACAUGACGUCUUCUACCUUGUCAUUGGGGGUCGUGUGGAUGACGUGGAAGGCUACCAGAUUCAAAGAGUGCAGCUCCUGCUUUCUGUUGACACGCACAAAGCCAGGGUCAUCUUCGCCACCCAGGAAAAUUGCCCAAAAACAUUGCAGAGUUCGCGUUACAUCCUUGUCAUCAAUGCCUCCCAGUUGGUGAUCAAGAUCUCAACAGGUACAUACUUACACCACUGCGUAGAGCACAUACUCAGUUUUAUCAAUUCCAAUUGCAUUGUUUUUAUUACGCUUUUGCGUGGCUGCUCACGAUGAUUAAAUAUGAAUUCCUGUUUGUUUACAUCCAGUUAGAGUAAAAAAUUACUGACUUAUUAGGCCCACAAUGCUCCGUAUUACAUGAUGGCAUGACAGACAUAUGUGUGUUUAUUAGCAAUUAUAUAUCUUUUGUCUUAACAAAUGUCAUCUCUCGAGCAGCCUGCUCCCGUACAGGUUUUAGUGUUCAACCUAAUACUAAUCGCAUCACAUGAGGAAAAAGAUUUCUGCUUGCGUGUCUUUUCUUUGGUGGAGAAUUUGGUGUCAGUUACUCUUCACUUCUCAUUAAGAUUAGGCGACUGUUCCUUACAUGAAUACAAACAAGUGUCUCCAGUAAAUAUGUAGAUCUGAAUUCUGAUUGUCCCAAGCUAAGUAAAAUUUAACACUGAAUUCGAAGCUGUGAGAAGUGCAAGUGUUAGCAUACGCUCCUGUUUCAGUAGGUUAUCUUCAUGAAAUGCCUUGGAGAUGUCCAUAGCAUGAUGUCGGCAUUCCUAAUUAAUCUUAGAAAAUACUACACUGUUGAAAUGUUAGUGAUAAACUUCGAUAUCCAUAAUUGUCGUGGCUGUUAUUUCUUCCAGAGUCGUUCCAACUUUUAUUCUUGAAUGAAAGCGCUGUUUAUAUUUAUAUCUAUACUUGUGCUGCAACCUAUAUAUGUUAUUUUGUGCUGCAACCCACAUUUGUGAGAACAUCUUGAAGUUGGUAAUAAAGAGCUGUUUAUAUUUCGACAAGUAUGCCUGUUUCUGCUAGUGAGCGGUGGAAGCAGAUGGGAUAGGUGAAAAAAAAGAUGAAGUUUGAAUGACCGCCGCAACCGAAUCGAUCAUGUGAAGUUGAAGCAUUGGAUGAUCCAUCUCUUCGUUGUAUCAUGCGCAAUUAGCAUCACUACAUGGUCUUUCAUUCUUAGCUGCUGGUGGGGAGAGCACGGUUGAAUCUGUUCUGAUUUUACUAGGACCGACCUGGUCAGUAUUAUUGCUAACUUAUGAUCCGAUAUUAGUAGCUGUGUUGAAUGGCUAGUAGCAUGUAAUAUUCACCCGGUUGCUGUGUGGCACCCACUUUGGAUUCUUGUGCUUGUGGGGAUUAUCUAUGAACCAUGUACCAACACUGGUGGCCCUUUUAUCCUUGCUAUGCUGUUUUGAUGAUUUUCAUUACUAGCUGCUCAUUCGUCCUCCGGUAUCCACUUAAAGUUUGAUGCAUAUUUUGUUUCCCUGUUAUCCCUAGGUUAGUUCUAUUUUGCUCAUAUUGAUUAAAACAUAUCCUUGUGAUUAUCAAUAAUCAAUGGUAGAAUGUUUAUGAAUGUGAAAAUAGUAGUCCAGUAUUUCAGUGGGUAGCGCCCUUUCCCGAUUAAUUUACAAGUCAUCAUCUUUUUUUUGAAAGAUCCGGAAUCUUGCCGGCGUUAAUUAAUAAGAAGAGAAGCAGUUCAAGCGCCAGAGAUGCUUGAGUUUACAACCAUGGAGGUUCGAAAAACCUGCCGAGGUCGGAGCAUUAGAAAAGCUCCCAACAGAAACGUGAAAAAUAAAGGAAUUACUUGCUAAUAUACCCCCAACCAAUAAAGCUAUAUGCUUUGCCCCCGCAAAACAUCGGAGAUUUGGUGACUCCUUGAUCUCGUUCACCAACCUUGCCAGCGUCUUCUCCUUGUCGUCGUCAUCAUCCACGAAACUAAACACCAGAGUCUAGUAGGUGCUGCCUGCACAGCACCAAACUAGCACAGCACAACAUCCGCUGGCUGGUUGCUUGCCUCAGAUCUUGGCGACCUUGUCGGCGACCACGACCGGGUUGUUCCUGGCGAUCCGCUCGCGGCCGGCGCCCUUGUAGUCGAAGCCGCAGGCGUGCUUCUCCGCGUAGCGGUGUGCGCCGCAGAAGGUCUCGCCGCAGCAGCACGGGAACCCCAGCAGGCCAACCUUCUUGCGGCACGCCGCGCACCGGCUCGCCGCGGGCUUCGCGGGGGCCCCCGCGACCGCGCCAUCGGCACCAAUAACAUCAGGGGACGGCGCGACGGCGGUGGCAGACGUGAUGAUCCUGGCCUUCUUCUCCGGCGGCUCGCCGCGAGGUGCUGCGGGCGCGAUGGCGCUCGUCUUGAAGACGUCCUGCAUCUUCUUCCUCUCGUCGGUGGGCGCCGCGGUGGCGGUGGCGGUGGCGGCGGCGUGCUCGCGGUAGCACUUGGAGCACAUGCCGCCGGUGGCCGGGUUGCCGAAGAAGCCGCACCCGGUCGCGCACGGGGCCGCGGCGGCGGCGCCGAUCUCGUCGACGUCGACGCUCUUCCGCUUCUCCGCCAUGGUCGCUACCGUGUGGGGCGUCGUCGAGUGCGUGCUGUGGCCGCCGAACACGCCGUUCGUUGCGGAGCGAGACGAGCUUGUACGCGUCGAUCGAGCGCAAGCAAAGUCUUGUGUUUGGCUCCGGGCGUCGGGGGUGGUCUUAUAUAGACACGCAUGGCGACACGACGGAGGCGGUGCUGGUUCGGAGUGCACGCCGUACGCGACCUUUCUCCUGUUCGGAUCAGAUGCAUUCGCGAUUCCGUACCGAAAAAAAAA